This is a long non-coding RNA of Mastomys coucha (southern multimammate mouse), 401 nucleotides long. RefSeq lists it as uncharacterized. The transcript has 2 exons. NCBI's taxonomy places the organism in Eukaryota, Metazoa, Chordata, Mammalia, Rodentia, Muridae. The record is from RefSeq and is a predicted model, not a curated record.
AGGUGAUCUGAGAGGCUGUGCUGAAGGAUUUGAUAGAAGGAGUGGCCAAUCAGCCUUUGCUCAAUGAGCAUCCUGUCUCAGAACAGCAGGCUCCAAUUUCCAGCCACAGUAACCGCACUGCUUAGCUGAACACAUGCCUGACACGGUGAGCUCUUGGAUCCCAGCCACCUUCCUCGUGAAGCAGGGCACAGUUGUUACUGGGGCCUUUCCCCGUAGGUUACACGCUGUGUCCCCAUACCUGCAGCUGCACCCUGAAGAACAAGUGCUAAAUUGUGAAUGCAUGCAUUCAACUGGUCUUUUUCCCUUUUGCCCAUCUACAGUUUCUUAUUUUCCAUAAUGGCAGAAUGCUGCUUUUCUGGAGUAUAUUUAAAGUUAUACUUUAAAUAAAUACAUAUUAAUCU